UAUGUCACGUCCCGCUAUCGCCAAUUUGGUCGAUCCGGGCCCGUACACAGACGCCGAACGAACAGCACCUCCUCUGUUCGCCCAAGGCUCAACAACAACGAAUACAUGUAUAAAGAAAUAAACAAUUCCCAGGAUCACAUUUCAAUAUACAUGGCUUACACGAAGGCAAGCAACAAUCACAAGUGAUAGUAAGUCUAACUAAACAUGAAAUCCACUGUAAUUUAAAACUUCACAUAACUAAAACAUUUAGUUAUAUACAUGCUUUAUAUACAUUCAUUUACAUGUCUCUGUACAUCAAAAUGGAUGAUACAUGAACCCAAAUGGUAUACCACUAGUACUCGGGUGUCCACUAGCUAGGCUGCUGGCUCUUGCCUCGAUCCUCGGCCACAAUACUCGCACUGGAACCUGUAUGGUUAGUGGUGUGAGAACUACAAGAAAGUUCCCAGUGGGUUCGGCCGCCGACCUCGCCGACUCACCCACUAGGUCUACUCAGGCAUAUGUAGGCAAGAAAAGUAAGCAGAUAGUAACCAACUAUAACAUGUAACUACUACAAUGCCUGUACAAAGCGGAAGGAAGUAGUAUACGAAAACUGUAAAGAUGCAUGCAUGCUUUUCAUUAACUUUACCCAAUCUUUUGGUUAACCCUCUGGUUAACAGCUGGACAAGUACGUUAGUCCUGGGGCAAGUACGUUAGCCCAUAAAUUUACCCAAUUCAGUGGUUAACCCUUUGGUUAACAAUAACUCACCAACGAAAUCCCUCACGGGCCCUAAGCUGCCUCCCGAUGGGACGUCUGUCGGACAAGUACGUUAGUCCUGGGGCAAGUACGUUAGCCCAACAAGUGACUACUCCGGAGCUCACUGCCUGGGG
Molecule: long non-coding RNA, 867 nt
Filed under: Ananas comosus (pineapple)
Lineage: Eukaryota; Viridiplantae; Streptophyta; Magnoliopsida; Poales; Bromeliaceae
Description: long non-coding RNA (ACOM_LNC037540)
Source: RNAcentral